GACGAACGCUGGCGGCGUGCUUAACACAUGCAAGUCGAACGUGAUUUUGUGGAAGUUCCUUCGGGGAUGGAAAUGAAAUGAAAGUGGCGAACGGGUGAGUAACACGUGAGCAACCUACCUUACACAGGGGGAUAGCCGUUGGAAACGACGAUUAAUACCGCAUGAGACCACAAAGCCACAUGGCUUAGGGGUAAAAGAUUUAUCGGUGUAAGAUGGGCUCGCGUCUGAUUAGCUAGUUGGAAGGGUAAAGGCCUACCAAGGCGACGAUCAGUAGCCGGUCUGAGAGGAUGAACGGCCACAUUGGAACUGAGACACGGUCCAAACUCCUACGGGAGGCAGCAGUGGGGAAUAUUGCACAAUGGGGGGAACCCUGAUGCAGCGACGCCGCGUGAGCGAAGAAGGUUUUCGAAUCGUAAAGCUCUGUCCUAUGAGAAGAUAAUGACGGUAUCAUAGGAGGAAGCCCCGGCUAAU
Molecule: ribosomal RNA, 471 nt
Filed under: Parvimonas sp. oral taxon 110
Lineage: Bacteria; Bacillati; Bacillota; Tissierellia; Tissierellales; Peptoniphilaceae
Description: bacterial SSU rRNA
Rfam family: Bacterial small subunit ribosomal RNA
Source: RNAcentral